GGGGAUUAGCUCAGCUGGGAGAGCGCCUGCCUUGCACGCAGGAGGUCAGCGGUUCGAUCCCGCUCAGCUCC
Molecule: transfer RNA, 71 nt
Filed under: Prymnesium neolepis
Lineage: Eukaryota; Haptophyta; Prymnesiales; Prymnesiaceae
Rfam family: tRNA (bases 7-64)
About the family: Transfer RNA (tRNA) molecules are approximately 80 nucleotides in length.
Source: RNAcentral